CAAUAGCGUAUAUUAAAGUUGUUGCGGUUAAAAAGCUCGUAGUUGGAUUUCUGCCGAGGACGACCGGUCCGCCCUCUGGGUGAGUAUCUGGCUCGGCCUGGGCAUCUUCUUGGAGAACGUAGCUGCACUUGACUGUGUGGUGCGGUAUCCAGGACUUUUACUUUGAGGAAAUUAGAGUGUUUCAAGCAGGCACACGCCUUGAAUACAUUAGCAUGGAAUAAUAAGAUAGGACCUCGGUUCUAUUUUGUUGGUUUCUAGAGCUGAGGUAAUGAUUAAUAGGGAUAGUUGGGGGCAUUCGUAUUUAACUGUCAGAGGUGAAAUUCUUGGAUUUGUUAAAGACGGGCUACUGCGAAAGCAUUUGCCAAGGAUGUUUUCAUUAA
This 380-nucleotide ribosomal RNA is filed under the name uncultured eukaryote. Its description in RNAcentral is "partial 18S ribosomal RNA". It matches the Rfam family "Eukaryotic small subunit ribosomal RNA", at positions 592 to 976 of the family's 1831-position model. The record is from RNAcentral.